GCCCCCCAACUUCCUGUUCUUUUUCUCUGGGAAUAGUGGUUUCGGUCAUUGCGGGAAAUGGGAGCCUGGCUAUGCCAUCCGUGUGAACAGGUGGUCUGAGAUACCAUCACAUGGUGAGGACUUGUUUGAGGUUCUAGGUCUGGUGGUUGCUGGUGAAACGUCCCCAGGUACGCCUCUGCCUGUCUUUGUAAAAAGUGAUGUAGUGGAUACCUUAGGUGUGAUCUAGAUGUCUCUGUGGACGUUGAAGUCACCCAACAACCUCUCCUUAUUGAGCUCCUAGAACAGUAUUAGGUGGUCCCCAAAUUAGGAUGCCUUCACUUGUCCCUUUUGACUUUCUGAUGGUGUGAGAUGCAUAUCUAUUCUGCUUUUCACUUUCAAUGGACAGUAUUGAACACAUGACCUGAAAUUUCACUACUCUGUUACAAAGGAGGCUUCUGAACUCAUUUAAGGAAGACUAGGCUAAGGUAAUGAAAUGCACCUUGCAUUGGAAUAUUUUCCACCUUAUGACAUGCUUAUCAGGAUGUAACCCCAUUGUAAGUUGAGGAGCAGAAUUUAAGCCUGCAGACUCUCAGGUCAGAAUCCUGAGUUCAAGGGCAAAUUAAUGUGAUCUCGGGUGAGUUGUUUGAUUAAUCUAAGCUUUAGUGUUUUCAUGUAUAGAGUUGGUUGAUGUAAGGAUUCAGUCCGAUAAUGAAUAUAAACUACUUAGCACUGUUUGUCACCUCUUGAGUUCUUGGUAGGGACUGCCUACCCUAACAACCAUUGAAAAGUUUUAGCAUUCCUUGAGCUCCUGGUAGGGACUGGCUAUUGUAAAAAAACACCAGAAAGUUCUUGCAUCCAAAGUGACCCACCCCAUAUCCCCUUCUUCCUUUCAGGUUCUCUGUCUUUCUUUUGAAGUCAUGUGCAAAGUUCUGAGUAACUGUAAAUUCUGUUGGGCUGAACAUUGAUAAAUGAAGAAUGAUCUUUCCUCCCACUCUGUCAUCCAUGUAAUUCCAAGGACAGAAUUUGUAAGGAGCCUUCAGGACACCAGGUGACACUUGUCUCUAGCAUCUGUGCUCUGAGGGAAGGAAUCAGCGUGGCUUCCCAGGAGCUAGUCAUCAUUCUCUGACCAUAAUGCAAGCUGAGUUCUGGGAGGUCCAGGACAGACAAGACCCACCAAAAGCAGAAGCAACUUCCUCAGAAAAAGAAAAGCAUGCCUGACAUCCCACUUUAUCUGGUCGCAUCAGGGAAUGUGCUUUUCUUGGAGAUGAAUGAAAAAAGAAGCAACCACAUCAUCCAGCCAAAGUCCUCCUGUUUGCAAGACAAGGACUUUACUGACUGGGCCAUCUCCUCAGCCUCAGAGGCAGCAUUUAACCCUCUUCCUCUGCAAGAACUGGACUCCAUCUCACACUCUGAGAACUCUGUGUGCUCAGGGACUUUUCUCAGGAUAAAGUCACAGAAAAGAUAGACAGAGGUGGAGCUCCUGGCUGGGCACCCAUCACAUGCCUGCCAUGAAUCAUCCACUGCCAGGAACUGCUAGGCACAUCUUCAAGGCGCUAGUGGAGGCACAUGGCUGUUCAUCAAUGUCAGUUAAAGGAGAAACGAAGGAGCAGAGGGAAUUUAUUGGCUCAAGUCCUUGAGAAGACCGUGGUGGACCUGGAUUGCAGGCAUAGCUGGCUCCUCUAUCAUCCUCUUUCCAUCUCAUAUCCUUGCUCACACAGCCUGGCUUUAAUUGCUGGGGACUUUCAUGUAACACAAAUUUUAAAAGGUCUUAGAAAUAGAAAUAACCCGGGCCAGAUAUUGGGGUGAAAG
Peromyscus leucopus (white-footed mouse) is the source of this 1788-nucleotide long non-coding RNA. RefSeq lists it as uncharacterized. Lineage: Eukaryota; Metazoa; Chordata; Mammalia; Rodentia; Cricetidae. The transcript is spliced from 3 exons. The record is from RefSeq and is a predicted model, not a curated record.